RNAcentral lists this ribosomal RNA (151 nucleotides) under uncultured bacterium. RNAcentral describes it as "partial 16S ribosomal RNA". It matches the Rfam family "Bacterial small subunit ribosomal RNA", at positions 1349 to 1500 of the family's 1533-position model. The record is from RNAcentral.
UCAGAAUGUCGCGGUGAAUACGUUCCCGGGCCUUGUACACACCGCCCGUCACACCAUGAGAGUCGAUAACACCCGAAGCCUGUGAGCUAACCGCAAGGGGCAGCAGUCGAAGGUGGGGUUGAUGAUUGGGGUGAAGUCGUAACAAGGUACC